CUAGAAACUUAGGAUAUGUUAAACCAGUGGCCUUCAAAGCCAUCAAAAAGAUUCACCUCUUAGUUUCUG
This 69-nucleotide transfer RNA is filed under the name Brookesia tuberculata (Mount d'Ambre leaf chameleon). RNAcentral's name for it is "tRNA-Trp". It matches the Rfam family "tRNA". From Rfam's summary of the family: Transfer RNA (tRNA) molecules are approximately 80 nucleotides in length. Their secondary structure includes four short double-helical elements and three loops (D, anti-codon, and T loops). Lineage: Eukaryota; Metazoa; Chordata; Lepidosauria; Squamata; Chamaeleonidae. The record is from RNAcentral.